Molecule: ribosomal RNA, 480 nt
Filed under: uncultured bacterium
Lineage: Bacteria
Description: bacterial SSU rRNA
Rfam family: Bacterial small subunit ribosomal RNA
Source: RNAcentral
AAUGAACGUUGGCGGCGUGGAUUAGGCAUGCGAGUCGCGCGAGAAUGUAGCAAUACAGGAAAGCGGCGAAAGGGAGAGGACAACAUGGGAAUCUGCCCUGGGGCGAGGAUAGCGUCGGGAAACUGACGGUAAUACUCGAUAAUGUCUGCGGACCAAAGGUGUGAUUCCGCCCCAGGAUGUGCCCAUGUCCCAUUAGCUAGUUGGCGGUGUAAUGGACCACCAAGGCGAUGAUGGGUAGCUGGUGUGAGAGCACGACCAGCCUCACUGGCACUGAGACACUGGCCAGACACCUACGGGUGGCUGCAGUCGAGAAUCUUCGGCAAUGGACGAAAGUCUGACCGAGCGACGCCGCGUGUGGGAUGAAGGUCUUCGGAUUGUAAACCACUGUCGAGGGGAAUCAAAUGCAGGAGGGUCCUCCCUCUUGUUUGAGAGAACCCUGGAGGAAGGGAGGCUAAGCUCGUGCCAGCAGCCGCGGUAAAG